RNAcentral lists this long non-coding RNA (421 nucleotides) under Pan troglodytes (chimpanzee). RNAcentral describes it as "long non-coding RNA NONPTRT018218". The record is from RNAcentral. Lineage: Eukaryota; Metazoa; Chordata; Mammalia; Primates; Hominidae.
ACCAUCUUGGACACACACCGCCAUCAUGGACACACACCGCCAUCGUGGACACACACUGCUAUCUUGGCCAUCGUGGACACACACCACCAUCUGGGACACACACCGCCAUCUUGGACACACACCAUCUUGGACACACACCGCCAUCUUGGAUAAGCACCACCAUCUUGGACACACACCAUCUUGGACACACACGGCCAUCUUGGAUAAGCACCACCAUCUUGGACACACACCAUCUGGGACACACACUGCCAUCUUGGACCCAUAACACCAUCUUGGACAAGCACCGCCAUCUUGGACACACUGCCAGCUUGGAUACACACCACCAUCUUGAAAAAGCACCACCACCUUGGACACACAACACCUUGGACACACACUGCCAUCUUGGAUAAGGACCACCAUCUUGGACACACACCAUCUUGGG